GAUGAACGUUGGCGGCGUGCCUAAUACAUGCAAGUCGAACGAAGACUGUAGUAAUACUGUCUUAGUGGCAACGGGUGAGUAACGCGUGGGUGACCUGCCCCGAAGUGUGGGAUAACAGUCCGAAAGGAUUGCUAAUACUGCAUAAUAUCCAAGAGAUUUAGAUGCUUUUGGAUUAAAGGAGUAAUUCGCUUCGGGAGGGGCCCGCGUCCCAUCAGCUAGUUGGUAAGGUAAUGGCUUACCAAGGCGAUGACGGGUAGGGGACCUGAGAGGGUGGCCCCCCACAAUGGAACUGAAACACGGUCCAUACACCUACGGGUGGCAGCAGUAGGGAAUAUUAGUAAUGGGCGAAAGCCUGAACUAGCAACGCCGCGUGUGCGAAGAAGGCCUUCGGGUCGUAAAGCACUUUUUGAGAGGAUGAGGAAGGACGGUACUCUCAGAAUAAGUCUCGGCUAACUACGUG
Molecule: ribosomal RNA, 460 nt
Filed under: uncultured bacterium
Lineage: Bacteria
Description: bacterial SSU rRNA
Rfam family: Bacterial small subunit ribosomal RNA
Source: RNAcentral